RNAcentral lists this unclassified non-coding RNA (338 nucleotides) under Dracontomelon vitiense. Its description in RNAcentral is "partial external transcribed spacer". Lineage: Eukaryota; Viridiplantae; Streptophyta; Magnoliopsida; Sapindales; Anacardiaceae. The record is from RNAcentral.
UGUGUUGCUUACCUAUCGAAAGGAAUUCGCUCGUUUCGGCGUCCCGUUCCGCCCGAUGCCCUCACGGGCGUGGGGCGGACAUCAGGCAAGAUUCGUGUUCCUGGCACGUCCCGCCGAGGACUGUCUUGGCCCACGGAGUCGUUGCCCGUUCUCUCGGAUGCAGAAUGCAACGCGCGGGCGCGGGGGUCUCGGCCUCCGCCAGCCCGAGCUACGCAUUUGUCCCUCGACAUGAACGACAGCCGCGCCCGUCCUGACCUCGCGUGCCUUCGGGUCGAUGGGGCUCACGCGGGCGUGGGCGUCGCGGAGGAAUGCUACCUGGUUGAUCCUGCCAGUAGUCA